GGUGCGCAUGGAGAGGAGAGGUCCUGGGGGGGGGGGGGGUGUUCCGCGGUGCUGGUGCCCCUGUAGGGUCGCUGGUCCCCGGGGUGGGGUUGGGGGCACGGCUGGGCAGCGUCACCCCCUCUGCAGCCCGCUGGCAGCCGGCGGGGGAGCUGGGAGCUCUGCCCCACGCGUGGCGGGGACGGCAGCCUCUGUGGCACGGCAGGGAGCGCGCUGGUGAUUCACGCUCCCUUUUUUUUUUUCGCUUUUCUUCCCCAAACGGGCAGCUGACGCAGCUCGGACAGCUCGCUCUGUGGCCGGGCCGUGGACUCCUUCCGCGGCUCGCCCCGACUUCCCCCAGCAGCACCCCCGAAAUCCCCUUUUGGGGUGUUUUGCCCACUUCCAGCAGGGCUGCUCCCAGCGGGGUGACUCGGUGCCCGCCGUGCCCAGCACCAGCCCCGCACGCAGGCUGCUCCAGGCCUCUGCGUCCUUUCCUCCGGCUCCCGGGGAGUUCCCAGCGUCUGUGGCAUCCUGCCGGCCCCUCUCAGCCUGUUUAUCUCGCUGUCUGCAUGGCUGGAGAUAACUGGGACACAGAGCUCAGCUCCUGCCAAAGGUCCCCGGGGAAGCCAGCAUCAAAGCGUGCCCGUCAUCAGGAGAAAACGCAACGUGACUCGUUCCUCCUGCCGCUCCCGGUCAGGUUUCUCCCUUCUAUUACAGGUCUGUAGAAAACAGGAGGUGAGUCAGGGUGCUGCGGGGCGGGAGGCGAGGAUGGAGCUGCGCAGGGAGACAGCUGCUAAGUGAAAGGCAAUAAAUUGUGAGGGAGCAGCCUGUGAAACUCCAGCGACCAAGUUCCCGAGGCUCCCUUAAAAGGGGAGAUUUUAGUCCGGGACAGCGGGGAGACAGCAAAGCCAUAAACACCCCCGAAGGAAUGUGGCUGCUGAGAAAUGAGCAUCCCGCAGCGUGGGGGCCAGCUCAGCGGGGGGAGCGGGGCCGCACUGCCCGGCUCCUUGGCCAUGCCCCUCGGGGGCACGCGGUGGCCACCAGGGCUAGCGGUCCCCAGGAGGCUCUCGCUGAGCCCCGUGGGUGUCGUGUCCCUGCCUCCUCAGGCUCCACACCAUGCAGAUGUCCCCGACGGCCAGCUGCUGGCACGGGAGCUGGUAGAGCUGGCAGGUCCUGUGAGGGCAGCAGGACACCCAGCCCCGGUGCCGGGCGAAGAAGGGGAACUCCUGGAGCACCUCCACUGAGACCUGGGCAGGGCGAGGAGAGGGCCCGCGUCAGGAGCAGCCCCAAUGCCACCAGCACCCACUGCUUGCCCCACUGCUGAAGGGCAGCCUCCUGAGGCUGGGAGGCUGGCCACCUCCUUCCCAAGCUGCCUUCCACAAGCCCGGCAGCCCCACCACACCCCACAGCUCCUUCUUUCCACCCCACAUCAGGAGACGUGACCAAGGCCAUGCAGCAGCUUGGUGGCGGAGCUGGAGUUCACCCGUUUCGGCCUUCCCUGGCCUCUGACCCUCUCCUCUGUAGGGCCGGGGCCAGCCUGGCAUUGAGGAAAGCCACCGAUUCCGUGGUUAGGGUGCCAGGGCCGGCUGGUCCCGCUCUGCCUGCGCACUCUCAGCUCUCUGGGGCUGAUGCUUGGAAGGGUCCCCUAAGGAUGAGGCUGGUGAUCUGGUGGGGACAUGUAGGUGGGACCAUGCAGCCUGGCCUGCCUCUCCCCGCGGCCCCACUCCCUCCGCGCAGAGCAGGACUGAUGUCCUUGCCCGCUUCCCUGCACCUGGCAGCCCUCACUGCCAGCUCCUGGAGGCGCAGAGCUUUUGGGGAAAAAUAUUUGCAAAGCCCAGGCAGCUCCUCUGGGUGAUGAGAGCGCAGGGGAUGGCUGCUCAUGUCAGUGCCUGCACUGUGACGGCCCCCGUGCAUUUGGGGACGUGGGGAUCCCCUUCCUGAGGACAGCCCCUCACGCACCUGCCCGUCCUGCUCCCCGAGGCAGACCCGCAGGGAGGCGAAGCCGGCAUGCGAGCUCCUCCGGAUGCCCCGCACCACGCACGAGCUGAUGCGCAGCUCGGUGCCGGCUGCCGCGCACCGCAGGAAAUCCUCCUCCCGCAGCUCCUCCACCUUCCUCUGCUCGCCGCCGGGCAGCACCGCCAGGGAGCCCCGCUGGAAGUGGGGCAGCACGAAGGCCGUGCUGGCUGUGGGCAGCAGCAUGGCCCAGAGCCCCCCGGUGCCGGCCGGGGCUCGGCACUGCCGGUACGCGACCGCGGGGCAGAGCGGCUGGGAGUAGAGCAACGCGUGGGACGGUGCUGUGGGGGUCAGCCCUGGGGAGGUGGAAAUGUGGGCAGGCACCGGGGUGGGCACCGUGGGGACGGUCCCCGUGUCAGCAGGCUCCUCGCCUGUCCCCUGCGGGGAAGCCGCCCUGAGAGGGGGCUGCGGAGGGGCAGCGCUGGUGGAAGGUGGAGGUGAGGGGCUGGGGGGCUCCGAGGGGUUUGGUGUGGGUGGGGGGACACUGGCAUCGUGCAGGCUGGCAGCUGCCCUGCUCAGCUUGCCCGUACCCACUGCCAGUCCGUAAUACACCCGUGCCCUGGGGACACUGCCUGUGGGCAAUGGGGUUACCGGGGCGAGCCCCCCGCCCAGCUCUGUGCCCCCUGCGCUCCCAGCCCCAGCUGGUGCCACCGGGCUGGCUGCAGACCAGAGCCCUGGCAGGGCCCCCACCGCCCCUAUCCCCAUGUCCUGUCUGUCCCCGUGCUGCCUGCUGGGGGACAUCCAGGCUGGGGCGUGCAGGCAGCUGCUGGCCCCGGGACAGCCUCGGGGGGUGCCCCAGCCCCUUCUGUAGGUGGCGGCGAUGCCCGGGGGCUGUGGGCAGCCCCCUGCUGCCCCAUCAGCAGUGCCUGUGGUGGAGCCGGGGUCCCUCGUGUGCCCAGGCAGGGCGCAUCGUGCCCACGGCUGCUGGGUGCCCGCAGGAGCCACGGGCCUCACGCAGCAGGGUGGGUGCUGGGGCGAGGGGCAGGCAGCCCCGGGCCCCCCCGGCAGCACCCAGGCACCUGGAGCUGGUGUGGAGCCCCAGUGCCUGGGGCUGCCCGGGGCCGGCAGCGCCUUCCUCGCUGUCAUCUCCCGCUUCUUCGGGGGCAGGCUGAGCCCCCCCGUGACGGUCCUGCUUUCGGCACCCUCCGGCAGCCCCCCUUCUUGGGACAUUUUGUGGGGCUGCUGCAGGCAGGUCCCGGAGGCACUGCGUCACCCGUGGGGCUCGGAGAGCAGGAGCAUCUAGGAGAGCACCAGGAGCAGGGUUACAGGGCUGGGAAGUGGUGGGGCUGGGCGCACAGCAUCUGUGAGGCUGGCAAUAAUCCCAUGCUGGUGACAUCGGUCCCCGUGGCAGAGGAGCAUCAGGCCCUGGGGGGAUGCUGCCUCGGGGCUGGCUCGUCCCUGCACCCCUCGGGGCUGUAGGUGCUGCGGGGACAGGGUGGCACCUCAGGGGGAAGGGGCCAGGGCCAGGCUGGGCUGGCUCCAUCCCCAUCUCACCGUGACAGCUCGGGGCUCCCAUGGGGGGUUUGGGGAGGGCUGACGGGGGGCAAGGGAAGCCCCUCCUAGGGCUUGGGGCCGAUGUGACCCGUAGUGGGUCAGGCAGUGGCACCAGGAGGCAGAACAGAUGCAAGAGCGAGGUUGAGCCCCUUUGAAGUUGGGCAGGAGCUGCCAAAAAGCAGCAGGUUCAGCUGGUGCUGAGUUAUUUCUCUGGCUUUCUGAAUGCCAGCCGCAGGUCCCACCGCCCCCACUGUUCUCCCCUUGUGCUCGGCUCCCAGCCCUGGCUGGCUUCCCACGCCAGGGAAACCACACUAGCUCUUUUUACUUUCACGGGGGCUACACAAGCAGCAAGGGUUAGUGACAGAGCCCGGCCACUCAGGGAUGCUCUUUUCUGCCAUAAUCAUGAUUUUUAAAUUUCUUUUUUUUUUUUUUCCCUGCACAGCAACAGCUUUAAAACUCAGCUGGCUUAAUAGAAAUGCAGCACAACUGGCCCCAAGCGGGUGAUAUCUCUGAGCUGGACAUGCCUGCAGCAGCCCCCAGCCAGCACCAGGUGGGUGCUGUGCCCUCCGCAGCUGCUCUGCACCACUGCAGGGUGAGGGCACGGCCUGGCGAGGGGCUGCGGAGAGGCUGGGGGGAGCGGGAUCUCUCUGCCCUGGUGCCCGGGACCAGCCCCGUUAGCCCUCGGAGCAGAGCUGUGCCAUACCACCGUGAAGGGUGGGCAAAAUGGGAUGGGGUCUGCAACUUCCCUGCUGUCUGUGGGGCCAGGGGAGGACAGGAGCUUGGCAGGGACAGCCACCCUGGGUGCUCAGAUGGGUGCAAAGCCACACACCCCCAGACCAGGUGACGUUCCCUCACCCUCCUGCUCACCCCAGCACGGCACUGCCGAGCUCCAGGCUCUCCCCCAAAGCACUUUGCUCCCCCAAACACCUCGGACACCCCAUUACCUCCUGCCUGGAGCCCCCCGCUCCCCAUUCCCUGCCCCAAACCAGAGCCCCCCACCUUGGCCGGGGACCAGUGCAGCCCUUACCUGCUGGGGGGGCCAAGUGGGAGCCAGAGGGUGCACGAGCCACCCUGUCUGCCACGGCACCGGGGCGCACUGCGUGCGGCGGGGAAGGUCACCACAGGCCACGUGGGAGGCUGCCUCGCGCAGCGCUCCUGCUCUCACCGCCUCCUCCUGAGGCAGCCGCAGGAGGGGACGCGGGACCCUCCAGCUAUGGGCUGCGGGGCCGUGGCCCCCCGACCUGAGCCCUCAGGGUGGGAAGGGGGCUGGGGAUGGAGGUGGAUGGGGACGCUGGUGGGCUGCACCCUCGGCACGGUGACCCCGUUGAUGCUGCCAUGUGGGAACCCACGGGGAGAGAGGGUGGCCCUGGGGACUCCUGCAAACAGCCCGUGGAGCUGGUGCUGCACGAGGACUGGGCAUCCCGGUGUGUCCUCGUUCCCAAAACCAUCCCGGCAGCUCGGGGUCCCGACACCCACCCAGGCCCCGCUCAGCUGGCAGGGAAAGUGGGAGGAGGAGCAGCCGAAACAGCCUCCUCCAGCAGUGACAUUUAAGCCACCUUCUCUGUCGCUGUGUUGUGGUUAAACACGGCUGGGUGAAAACACCUUCCCCGGCUUGGCAAAGCGCUGCUCACAGUCAUCUGGGUACUGAGAGCCGGGGACGGCGGCGGGGAAGCACGCGGAGCUGCUGACGUUGGACGGGCGGCCGGGCCGGGGAAGCGGGGCUCACCGUGGGUGCCUGCCCCGUCACCCCGGUGUGGUCACACAGCCCCGGCCCCGAGGAGCUGAGGGAUGCUCAGCACGGUGCUGAAGGCACCAUGGGGCUGGGAGAGAUGCUCGCAGCCAGGACCGCAGAGGAGAGGAGCUGCCUGCCCACCGUGCGAGGAGGGGAGGAAGGGAGAGCUUCAAAUGGGAAGAUGCCAUCGGGGAUUGAAGUGUGGGAAGCGUGCAUGCAUGCUCACAUACGGACACAAAUGCAAGGAGGUCUCAGUUCAGCCACAACAAGGUUUUAUAGCUCACACCCGCACAAGGCAGCCCUCCAAAGCUGCUCGUGGCAGUGGUGUGGUGCUCUCCUCGGCAGGUCCCCGAGUGCGCUGGGCUCAUCUCCUUGCCUGGUCUGCCCCCGUGACGUGCCCAGCUGAAUGAAGCACGUGGCAGUGCAGCCGUGUCCUGCUGCCGCCCACCUCCAGCGGUCGGGCACGGGUAAAUGUGGGUAAAUCUCCCCCAGGGCUGUACCCGGACUGCUGGGCUUUGGCCCUACUCAGGUUUGCUUGCUGCCGGCUUGUGGGAUGAUGGAAGAAGGAACGGGAUGACCCUCGACCUGCAGACCUGGCCCUGUGCCCCGUCCCUUCUGCGCUUUGGAGCUGCUCCAUGCACCCGCCCUGCCCCCAGGACCUGCUCGAGGACAUCCACGGUCAGGCUGGAGACAUGGGGGACCAGCCCUGCCCGCUGGGCAGCAGGGAUCCAAAAAGCCACCUCCGCAAGGUGCUGAAGGAGCUGUCGCUGCUCAGGCUGCUGAAGCGCACGAACCGCAGGAUCCUGCGGCUGCACGCUGUGGCCGUGCAGUGCUGGCACUCGCUUGCGGCGCAGAGGCUGCCCGGCCUCCUGCCGGUCCCUCCCAGGAUGUGCCACCUCACACCAAAGCCACAGGAGGUCAUGGAGGAGGCCGUCGGCAGCCCGGCGACCAACGCCACCAGCAGCAAGGAUGUGCCCAUGGACCCCGAGACGGGGACCCCGCUGGGGGACCCCCAGCCGCUCACCAAGAACUGGGGGGCUGGCGAGGCCAAGAAGGACAUGCUGGGGACCCUGCCCCAGCGCUUCCACUUGCCAGCCCCCAAAGUGCUCUGCCGGCCGUCGGCCCAGCGCUGGGUCAAACCCUGCUGCACCCGCUCCUGCGGCGAGAGCCUGGAGCAGGUGCUCACCAUCCGCUACCCGCAGUGAGGGCGAGGCGCCGCUGCCGUCGGGCUGCCGGAGGUUCGGGGCUGGGAGGAGCAGGAGGUGAGCUGCCAAGAGGAGGUCUGUGGGGCGACGCACCGAGCCAUUGUGCUGCGAAUAAAGGGAGCGAGCUGUGUCUUCCUGA
This is an RNA transcript of Cygnus olor (mute swan), 6559 nucleotides long. It is a transcript of the gene named TP53 target 5, with no coding region annotated. Lineage: Eukaryota; Metazoa; Chordata; Aves; Anseriformes; Anatidae. The transcript has 8 exons. The record is from RefSeq and is a predicted model, not a curated record.